CUAUCCCACAAGACAAUGCGCUUUUACGAUAUAAAUUGGCGUAACACCCAUGAUUCGGCCUCAUUCAAUCCUCUCAAUCGCUUGUGGGAAGGCGUUGGUUGUUUGGCCUAGUGGACUAUGCAAGAAGCGAUAAGGCGUUGGUUUUUUGGCCUGAUGGACUAUGUUAGCGGGCCGUACAACUCCUGACUCGGGGACAAGGAAGGCGUUGGUCGUUUGGCCUAAUGGCCUUUGGAAGCGGGUUGUACAACUCCUGGCUGGGGACGUGGUCCUUGCAGAUGCAGCUUUGGCAUCAGUCAUAUACCGGUCACUGUUGAAUUGGUGGUUUUAACUGCCAUGAUGGGCUUCUCUUUGAUGCGCCGUCUGCAACACCAGACCUGAUGGGACUUGGCAUCAGUCAUGCUGGUCACCUUGCUGAACCUCUGGUCCACGAUGUUCAUGUGGACCCCAGGAUGAUGUGGAGAGACUGCCUUCACUCAGCAGGUAGUCCAAGAUGCCUUUUGUUCAGCUCUCCAAUUUACAUGGACCCACCAUGAAGGUACUCCAGACUUUUGAUCAGCUCAGUAGUUCAUAUGGAACCACCCAUGAAGGCAGUCCAUGCGGUGUGACUCCUAGCCUCAUGAUGGAGGACCUUAAACCAUCAGGUGCACUUGUCUUUCGGGCAGGCUAUGGUGGGUGACUCCUAACCCCAUGAUGGAGGACUUUUUUUAAACCAUCAGGUGCACUGCUGUCUGUGGACCCGUGAUGGAGGAUUGUGAUACUUGAGAAGGUUGUUGGAACCCUCGGCUACAUGUUGGGAGAUGCUUCACAUUGCCUUGACGGCACACAAGCGUUCUGGAGACUGACUGGAGGACACUGCUGAAUUGCAAAUGUGUCCUGAAGAUUGCCACGGGUUUAACUGCUCCUUCAAUGCACUUUCCAAUCUUGCUGACUGGAGGAAAACUUUGAAAACGGUGACUGCCCUUCCUGUUCAGGCGCUUGGGAGAUGUUGCACACAACAAAUCAAUAAAAUGACUUAAACUUA
Molecule: long non-coding RNA, 1021 nt
Organism: Engraulis encrasicolus (European anchovy)
Lineage: Eukaryota; Metazoa; Chordata; Actinopteri; Clupeiformes; Engraulidae
Exons: 17
Source: RefSeq, a predicted model, not a curated record